Molecule: ribosomal RNA, 253 nt
Filed under: uncultured bacterium
Lineage: Bacteria
Description: partial 16S ribosomal RNA
Rfam family: Bacterial small subunit ribosomal RNA
Source: RNAcentral
UACGUAGGGGGCAAGCGUUGUCCGGAUUUAUUGGGCGUAAAGAGCGUGUAGGCGGCUUGACAAGUCUGCUGUGAAAACUCGAGGCUCAACCUCGAGAUGUCGGCGGAAACUGUCUGGCUAGAGUCCGGAAGAGGAGAGUGGAAUUCCUGGUGUAGCGGUGAAAUGCGCAGAUAUCAGGAAGAACACCAAUGGCGAAAGCAGCUCUCUGGGACGGUACUGACGCUGAGACGCGAAAGCGUGGGGAGCGAACAGG